CUAUUAACAAAAUGAAAAAAAUACUAAUCAUCGGUCACUUUUCAUAUUCUACGAUCUUCUUUCAUCUCAUAACAUCAUCCAUGUUUAACACUUAGUCUUUUAUUUUAGAAAAGCCUCAAGCUUCUACGACCAUAUAGAGUAACAAUGUCAAGGCUAGAAGAAGAAGAUUCAUGCCACAAUGUUUCAUGUCUAAGUCUAACCACAGAACUAUCAAUCAAUUAACUUUGACUUUAAGAUGCCCUAAUGAAAAUCAUGUAGUUACAUCCAAAUUAGCCAAAAAAAAUUACAACAUUUUCAUUUUCAGCUACCAAUAAAAUCUUUCUUAGCUAAAUCAAGUCUUCCAUUAUGAUAACCUUUGAAUCAAAAAAUAAUGUUUCUAAUUAGUUUGAAUCACCACACUGUCACUGC
Molecule: long non-coding RNA, 408 nt
Filed under: Elaeis guineensis (African oil palm)
Lineage: Eukaryota; Viridiplantae; Streptophyta; Magnoliopsida; Arecales; Arecaceae
Description: long non-coding RNA (EGUI_LNC069955)
Source: RNAcentral